Long non-coding RNA from Myotis brandtii (Brandt's bat), 1093 nucleotides. RefSeq lists it as uncharacterized. The record is from RefSeq and is a predicted model, not a curated record. NCBI's taxonomy places the organism in Eukaryota, Metazoa, Chordata, Mammalia, Chiroptera, Vespertilionidae. The transcript has 3 exons.
CUGAGGAAAAAAAGUGAUUUGCCCAAACUCAUAGUAAGUGGUAGAGAUGGGAUGUGAAACCAGCCAGGCUGUGCUUUUGACCAUAUCAGUGGAGAUGUAUUCAACAGACAUUUAUGAUACCUACUCUGCGCCUGACAAGACCCAGCCUCUUCCUGAGAAGCUCCUACUCUGGCCUCUAGGAGGAGCUUAGAAAAUGUCUCGUAACAAAGAAAGCUUCUGUCUCCACCUCCCUGCCCUCACACCCUGGGAAAACCAUAUCAUUGCUUUUCAGAUUUGAUAACUCAAGGAACUCCUGGAGUACACCUGAGGCCCAUGAGGAAUGCUGUUUGAAGGAAUGAAGUCAGUCUAUGAAAACAUCUCUCAAUGGAGAAUCAUCCCUGAAGAUAAGAAAUUGUGACUUGGUCGCUGGUGUUCUCUGCGUCAAGUGUCUAUCUCGGGGAAUGCUGGAGGGAUGACUCGUAGAGCCACCAGUUCUAGAGUCAGGAAAUUUAAGUUUUAUGCAUGGAGUCAUUAAAAACAAAAAGGGCAAGAGAAUCUGAAGUAGCUUGGAUGAUGAAGCUCCAACAAAGCAAUGAAUCUGAAAGGCAGCGAAGUAAAAACAAUUAUUCCCACUAAUGAGCAUGAGGGGAUGAAAGCCUGAAGAAACCAGAGCACCAGGAAACACUUGUGGCAUCAACUGGAGAAUGAGAAGAACAUCCAUGUAUUUCCUGAAUUCAUAAGCAUUUACAGGAGCCUCCUGCGUGCCUGUCUCUAAGCCAGACAGAACCUGUGCCCAUCCACAGAGGAUUGUCCUGGACACCAGGUGAGCUCAUGGAAGAAAAAGAAUGUAGACAACGAUAUUAUUCCCUUUCUAUCUAUAGUUUUUGUUUCUUGUUUCUAUAUGAACAGUCUUAUUGUGGAUAUGCCUGUUAUUACAAGGCAAAUCAAACCAUUUUUGGAAGGAGGCAAACAAACUAUAAAUAAUUAUUUACUUUACCAAAGGUGACUAACAUCUUUACUGUCUUGUGAUAAAACCUAUUGGACUGAUUAAAAACGGCAUGGCUCAGUGGCUGAGUGUCAAUCUAUAAACCAGGAGAUCACGUUCAAUUCCGGU